UAAUUGAUGUAUAAACCAGUGUCUCCUGU
RNAcentral lists this non-coding RNA (29 nucleotides) under Mus musculus (house mouse). Lineage: Eukaryota; Metazoa; Chordata; Mammalia; Rodentia; Muridae. The record is from RNAcentral.